AUUCUACGGGGGGCAGCAGUGGGGAAUAUUGCACAAUGGGGGAAACCCUGAUGCAGAGACGCCGCGUGAGAGAAGAAGUAUUGCGGUAUGUAAAGCUCUAUCAGCAGGGAAGAAAAAAGACGGUACCUGACUAAGAAGCCCCGGCUAACUACGUGCCAGCAGCCGCGGUAAUACGUAGGGGGCAGGCGUUAUCCGGAUUUACUGGGUGUAAAGGGAGCGUAGACGGUAUGGCAAGUAUGAAGUGAAAG
Molecule: ribosomal RNA, 248 nt
Filed under: uncultured bacterium
Lineage: Bacteria
Description: partial 16S ribosomal RNA
Rfam family: Bacterial small subunit ribosomal RNA
Source: RNAcentral